This 99-nucleotide ribosomal RNA is filed under the name uncultured bacterium. RNAcentral's name for it is "partial 16S ribosomal RNA". It matches the Rfam family "Bacterial small subunit ribosomal RNA", at positions 1386 to 1482 of the family's 1533-position model. The record is from RNAcentral.
CACACCGCCCGUCACAUCAUGGGAGUUGGUUUUACCCGAAGUCGAUGACUUAAGCCGUAAGGCAGAGAGUCGCCUAAGGUAAGGCCGAUGACUGGGAUG